CAAUGCGAAAUGUAAAUUUACACACAACUCCAAAUUGAGUUAAAUAUUACAUUUUCUUGUUUACAUAACUUGAGAACAAGAAAGGAAACGCUCACAUGAGUUUAAUAAUUCAUAUCCCCGUGUAUAUAAAAGAAUAUACAAAGACACACCCAAAACUCAACAAAAAACCCUGCCACUACGCCUCCAUCUCAACCCUGCUGAUCCUCACCUGCAGGUCUAACCCCUACACCAAGAAAUGGUGCACCGGGUUGUAAACAACACACUCGGUAAGCUAAAAAGCUCGUAUGAGUAAACUCAAAAAACAACACAACAUUUAUCACAUCCAAUAUUCACAAGAGAGAUUGGAUCAAUAAUUUCAAACCACACAUCAAACACAUUACCCAAGAGAUGUACCCAUGAGUCCCAGAUACCCAUUAAUAAAAUACCUCUCAUGACCUACCACAACACUAUGUGUACCCAUGGGUCCCAGAUACCAUACAGUAUCUCCCAUGACCUACACUGACAGACGGACUAGAGCUCUAUUCCUAACCGUAACCAAUCACCCGGCCAAAGGCUUGGAACCCGAUUUGACUGUCUAAUAUCAAUACAAAAAUGAUAAAUAGCAUCUUAACCGCAACCAAUCACCCAAAAAGGGCUUGGAACCCGAUUUGGCUAUUUAUCCAACAAGCACAAUAAUUUUCACAACAUUAUCCACAACAACACAAGAUCACAAUUAUUAUUCUCAACAACAUAAUAUAUAAAUCACAUCAUUAUUCUCAACAUCACAAUAUAAAGAAAACUUGUUUUUAUCUUACCUAUGAGCCGUUGGCGAUCAAGCUCAUGAAAUUUUAAAAACAAUUAAAAGCAUGAUAUUAAAACCAACAUCACCAUCAUUAUCAUUAUAUAACCAUAAUAUCUUUAGGUUCAAAAGUGAACCUUGGUGAGGUUUACUCACCUAAAUCUCCCGCUGCAAAUUCCACAACCGACCAAGGUAAACCAACUCAACUUCACAAAUCACCUAAAAAUAGCACAAUUAAAACCUUAGUAACUAAAAUACUAUAGGUUAACACAAUACCCUUAACUAACCCUUAAUUCAAGAGAUGACAACUUUCCAAAGUCGUCGAACUUAGAUACCCACAAAGGCUGCCUCUAAUCCUCCAUUCCUAACUCAAACCUCCAACAAACCUAAAAUCACACUUAACGUUCUAGCAUGCCAACAUUUCUUAAAAACUAGCCACACUACCACUCAACAAGCUCACAGCAGUAAGGACUACCUAACCACAGGAAACUAGGGCUGCAACUCAACCGGACGCGCCGCCACGCGCCGCCACGCGCCGCCAUAGGCGGCGGCGAGUGGGCCUCACGCGCCACCCCAAACUUCCGAAUUUGAGAAAACUCCCAACAGCAAAGUUGAAGCUUGAAGCAAGGGGAACAACUUUCUGCAAAACCGGCCUCAAAACCUUAAAAACUUGCUUCAAUGCAUGCCUAAACACUACCAGGAGGAAGAGGGGAUCAAGACUCACCUAAACUUGGCCGAAAACGGCGUCGAAAUCGCCGGUUUUCCGGCGGGACAGCGGUAGCUCCGCCGCUUCGUGGCGGCUUCCAGGCGGCGGGACAGCCGGCGGAACUGCUCCAGAAAUGGAGAGGGCUGCUGUGGGAGUCGAAUGGGACCGGUGGCGUCCGGUUUGGUGGCCGGAUGAGGGAGAACUCGGCCGGAGAAAGUGAGAGUUCGGGGGAAGCUCGGGAGAGGAAGAGAGAGAAGAGAGAGAAGAGAGAAAAGAAAGAAAAGAAAGGGAAGAGAGAAAACAGAGACUGACUUUGUUUUUUAGGGUUCCCAAAACAUCCCACACACAUUUUUCUACUUAUACUCUUUUCAAACCCGGAAACAAACUUCCUCUAAACAUAACU
RNAcentral lists this long non-coding RNA (1887 nucleotides) under Fragaria vesca (wild strawberry). Its description in RNAcentral is "long non-coding RNA (FVES_LNC004076)". The record is from RNAcentral. Lineage: Eukaryota; Viridiplantae; Streptophyta; Magnoliopsida; Rosales; Rosaceae.